Molecule: RNA transcript, 16538 nt
Organism: Diospyros lotus (date-plum)
Lineage: Eukaryota; Viridiplantae; Streptophyta; Magnoliopsida; Ericales; Ebenaceae
Gene name: heat shock 70 kDa protein 16
Exons: 3
Source: RefSeq, a predicted model, not a curated record
UUCAAUUCUUCUUCUCUUCCCCCCCCCCCCUUUUUUCCUUUUUUUCUGUAGAAGUCUAUGUCAGAUUUCCAAUCUGGCAAUGGUUCCUCCCAUAAUUCAAAAGGAAUUGCGCUCGAAUGAGAAACCCGAAGGAAGUGAAAUUAGAAGGAGAGAGAUAGAGAUAGAGAGAGAGAUUAGUAAGGGAAAAAUGUGAUUCAAUUGUAUUUUCAGAUACCCACUUUAGCGGUAUGAGCUGGCUUAUAUACCCUCCUCAAGGAGGCGCCAAUCAUUUGAAUUACAAGCUGCUAACUACCAGCUUCUACACACUUCUAUAUUCCAACUGCCUACCCCCUUUAUUACAACAUUACCCCUUCGACUAAUAGGCGCCCUUGCCCUUGUCCGUGACAAUUCCCCUCCCCUUAGGAUUCUUCUUGUCCUCAAGAAGAGUUUAUAGGAGUCCUACUGCCCUCGGAAAUUGCUGGAGUAAGUCUGGUAGAUACUCCCAAGUGUUGUUUUCCGGAUGGAGGUUGGACCGGUGGACUAGCACUUGAGUGAGGGGAAGGUUCUGUUUGUAUAUCACUCGUUUAUCCACGAUAGCGACAGGUUUAGCUACCUGUUGUGAUGCUUGAGCAACCAGGGGUAGAGUUGCACUCAUUGGGUUGGUACAAAGAGAUGGUUUGAGGAGAGAGACAUGGAAAACGGGAUGAAUGGAAGUCUCUGCUGGAAGUUGUAAUCGAUACACUGUUUUGCCCACCCAAGCUAACACUUCAUACGGCCCAUAGAAUUUAGGACUGAGUUUGGACACUGCCGUUGGUGAGAGAGUCUUCAAUUGUGCUUGCCUCAGUUUCAGAUAAACCUGGUCCCCAAUUGAGAAGUUUCGUUCACUCCGCUUUUUGCCAGCGUAUUGCUUCAUUCGGUUUUGGGCGCUUGCCCAUUCCCUCUUUAGUGUCUGCAUCACUUGUUGCCUUUGAGUGAGAUAAUCAUCCACUGUGGCUACCAAGUUGAGGCCUCCACUGAUAGGUAGUAGUGGUGGUUUGUAGCCGAAUAAGGCCUCAAACGAGGUCAUUUUCAAGGAUGAGUGGUAGUUGGUGUUGUACCACCAUUGUGCCAAAGGCAGCCACUUGUGCCACCUUGUGGACUGCACCAAGCACACACACCGAAGGUAGGUCUCAAGGCAUUGAUUCACUCGUUCCGUCUAUCCAUCCGUUUUCGGAUGAUAUGCUGAUGACAUGGUACCGAGUGAUUUCAUGAGCUCCCUCCAUAGUAAGUUGGUGAAGACUUUGUCUCGAUUGGUCACAAUGACUUGAUCUAGGAACACUCGUGCCACUUCUUGGGCUAUGAAGGGAUGAGUUAGACUUAAGAAAUGGCUGUAUUUGGUGAGUCUGUCCACGAUUAUCAAUAUGCAGUCUUUGCCCUCUGAUUUGGGUAAUCCUUCCACGAAGUCCAUACUGAUGCUGGACCAUGCUUGCUCCGGUCGAGGCAAUGGUUGCAGUAGCCCUGGAGGGUGAAUGUUCUCAUGUGUACACCGGCUGCAAAUGUCACAGCUCUUUAUGUAACUCUGCACUGCCUUAUUCAACCCCGGCCAAUAGAACAAUUGCUGUACUCUGUUAUAUGUGCUUUGGACCCCAGAAUGGCCUCCUACGGGCGAAUCAUGCAGUGCUGUUAGGAUCUUCCUUCGUAGCAGCUCGUCACCUCCAAUUACCAGCUUCUCUUUGUACCUUAGUAGCCCAUUCCUUAGUGAAUAGCCCAGUUUGCUCGUGGGGUCUAGUGUCAGUUGCUCCAUUAGAUCCUUGGUCUAUUCUACUUUCUCGUAACUGGCUACUUCCUCUAGGUGCCAUUCUGGUAUGACAGAAUUCAUGGCUGCCGUUGUUCCUUCCUCCAUACAGCGGGAAAGGGCAUCGGCUGCUUUGUUCUCGUGUCCUUUCCUGUAUUGAAUGGUGUAAUCAAGACUCAUGAGCUUAGACAUACAUUUCCUUUGGAGGUGUGUGUGUAGCUUCAGUUGCAAUAGGAAUUUCAAGCUUUCAUGAUCAGUUCGAAUAAUGAUCUUACUCCCUUCCAAAUAAUGCCUCCACUUUUCUACUGCUAUCAAAACCGCCAGUAGUUCUUUCUCGUAUACAUUCAGGCCGAGGUGCUUUGGUGCUAAAGCCUAGCUGAUGAAGGCUAUGGGCCUUCCUCCCUGAGCCAACACUGCUCUAACUCCAUAGUUGCUGGCAUCAGUUUCUAAAACAAACGGUUGAUUAAAAUCAGGGAGCUUCAAUGUAUGAACCUUACUCAUGGCUUUCUUCAGUUGAUCAAAGGUAGCUUCAGCUGUUUCAUCCCAACAGAAUCCUUCUUUUUUUAAGCAACUCAGUUAAUGGCUUGCUGAUGAUGUUGUAAUUUUUAACAAAUCGCCUGUAAUAACCCGUAAGGCCCAAGAAUCCCUGCAAACUCUUCACGUUAGUCGGUCGUGGCCAGGCAUUCAUUGCUGCAACCUUUUGGGGUUCAGUGCUCACCCCCUUUUUUGAUAUAACAUGGCUUAGAUAUUCCACCUGGGUUUGUGCAAAGGCACAUUUGGACUUCUUGAUGAACAACUUAUUGAAUCUAAGGAUUUGCAAGGUCAUCCGUAAGUGCUUUAUGUGUUUAGGGAAGUUGGGGCUGUAAAUUAGGAUAUCAUCAAAGAAAACCAGAAUGAAUUGGCGAAUAUAGGGUUCGAAUAUCUGAUUCAUGAGGGCUUGGAAAGUUGCUGGUGCGUUAGUUAAACCGAAAGGCAUUACUAAGAAUUCGUAGUGCCUUUGGUGAGUCCUAAAGGCUGCUUUGUGGAUAUCUUGGGGGCUCAUACAAAUUUGUUGAUAUCCUGAAUGGAGGUCGAGUUUGGAGAAAACUUUGGCUCCAUGUAACUCAUCUAAUAGGUCCUCUAUGAUAGGAAUAGGGAACUUAUUCUUUAUGGUAAGGGAGUUGAGUUGGCGGUAGUCUAUGCAAAACCGCCAACUGCCGUCCUUCUUUUAGACUAAGAGAAGAGGAGAGGCAUAUGGGCUGAUGUUGGGUCGAAUGACUGAUUGCUGAAGCAUUUCCUUAAUCAUGCAUUCAAUCUCAGCCUUUUGUUUUGGGGGAUACCGGUAAGAACGAAUGUUAAUCGGCUCGGAAUUGGGUUUAAGGUUUAUGGUGUGGUCUAAUGGUCUGGGAGGGGGUAGAGCUUUCGGUUCUUCAAACAAAUCCUUAAAUUCAGCUAAGAGUUCAUCAAGUAAGUCCAGUUGAGUUACCUCCUGAGGGAUGGAGCCAUUCUUCGUUGCUUCCAGUUUGAGUUUCCCACCAUAGUCCGGUUCUUCCUCCUCCUGCUCAAUUGCUUGUAUCGAGAACAAUUGAGCCACCUGGGUCCACUUGCUUUUAAAUAGCUUAUGUAGUCUUUUGAUGCGGUCACCAAUCAAGACCCGGCCCAAAGCUGACUCUCGACCACGCCGGAACAAUAUUUUAAUACUUCUUAAGUUUUUAGAAUUCUACUUGAUUUAGGAUUCAAUUUCAUAUUUCUACUUGAUUUAGGAUUCUACUUCAUGUUGGAUUAAGAUUUAUUUCUAUUAGGAUUCUAGUUGGAUUUUGUUUUCCAAAUAUUAGAUGGAUUUGGAUUAGCCAAAUACUAUAAAUAUGCCUAGGAUCUAGAGUUUGUAAUCAAGUUUUUCUUAAUCAAAUUUCAGCAACCUAUUUAGGUUUUCUUAGCAAAACAGUCUUGUUUUUGCGUCUUCUUGAAAGCCAAGCUUCGGCCAUUGAAGUUUGCUCUUUCAAGGGUUUAUUUUGGUGUGUUUUCUUCACACUCGCGCUACACGCUGCGUCAGGUGGUAUCAGAGCGGUUAAUCAACCAAUCAGAUGGCCAAUCUUGAAGGUAACGGUAGCAACCAGCCUCGUGACGGUGAUCAGGGGUUGUCCGCAGUUUGGAGAGCAAUUGAAGAACAGCGGGAAGUAACUCGUACUAUCCAGCAGCGAUUGGAGCAACAUAGCAACCAAUUGGGCACCUUACUACGAGUUGAUGAUGACAGGAACCUGAAUAAUGGGGUGAAUCAAGCCGGAGCGGGAAGACCACCUAUUAAUCAUGUCCUUGUUAAUCCUAGAAGACCAGUGAUUGAAGAUAGCGAUGAAGAGGAUGAUUUUGGUCGAGCAAUAGCUAACCCUGGUGGUAGAGGGGUUAGGAGGAAUGCGCAUCAGCACAACCACUGGAGCAACGAUGAGUAUAAACUAAAAGUUGAUACUCCCACCUUUAGUGGAGAUCUUGAUAUUGAGGGGUUCCUGGAUUGGAUCACUGAGGUUGACCGUUUUUUCGAAUACAUGGAGAUCCCAGAUGAACGACAAGUAAAGUUAGUGGCUUACAGGUUGAAGGGCGGUGCAUCUGUUUGGUGGGAGCGAUUAAGAGAAACGAGAUUGAGGGAAGGCCGACAGCCAGUUCAGACAUGGAGACGAAUGAAGCAACUGUUAAGAGGUAGGUUUUUGCCCCCUGACUAUGAACAAUAUAUGUUUGAAGCUUAUCAAAGAUGUGCACAGGGAAUGAAGAGUGUGAAUGAAUAUACCUCUGAGUUUUUACGAUUAGCGGAGAGAAACCAAUUGUCAGAAAGUGACAAUCAACAAGCAGCUCGUUACUUGAAUGGAUUGAAGCCUGCUAUUCGUGAUAAAAUUGGAGUUCAGAUGGUUCUAAGUGUGCAAGAAGCAAGGAACUUAGCUUUAAAAGCUGAGUUAAUGUUGAGUGAGAGAUCUCGUAAUGACACCUAUCGUCGGUAUAAUGGGAAUGAAAAUAAACAACCAGUUUUUGAUAAAGGUAAGUCGGUUCAAGGAGCGCAACCCUCCAAUCCACCCCAUACAGUCAACCCUAAUAAGGCUACAACGGGGGGAAACAUUCGAGGUACUACUUCUAAUCUUCCAAAAUCCCCUAAUCCUUAUGCAAAGCCUAUUCUUUUAAAAUGUUUCAAGUGCAAUGAGGUUGGGCAUCGAUCUAGUGAUUGUCCAAGGAGGAAAACAGUUAACAUUGUUGAAAAGGCAGAGGAAGAUGUUGCUGAAGAGGAAGUAUAUUGCGGGCCUGAUGGGGAGGAUGAUGAAGAAGAUUAUGGACAUGGGCAAUAUACCUGUGUAGUGAGGAAGUUAAUGCUAUCUCAAAAGAAUGAAGAUACUACUCAACGGCAUAAACUUUUUCGCACGAGGUGUACAGUGAAAGGAAAAAUCUUUGAGUUGAUUAUUGAUAGUGGAAGUCAGGAGAACAUCAUAGGAAGAGACGUGGUGGCAAAGAUGCAGUUAACUCCUGAAAAACAUCCAAGCCCUUACAUGAUUGGAUGGAUCAAAGAAGUUGGUGGCAUACAUGUGAAUGAACGUUGCAGGGUGCCUUUCUCUAUCGGUAAGUACUCCGACGAAGUCUAUUGUGAUAUUGUUGAUAUGGAUGCUUGCCAUAUUUUAUUUGGGAGGCCUUGGCAAUUUGAUGUGGAUGCUAAGCACUCGGGUAGGAAGAACACAUAUCAGCUUGAGACAGAAGGUGUGCGUUAUACUUUGUUACCUAUAGUGGAAAAGAAUCAAACCAAAACUUCUAAAGUGGAGGGGCGAAAUUUUCUUACCAUUACACAUAAACACACAGAGUUUGUGAGGGAGUGUAAGGAUACUCGAGAGGUUCACUUAUUGGUUAUCAAGGGAGAGAGUGUGAGUGAGCUACUGAAGGUAAAUCAAAUUCCAGUGGAGGUGCAGGGAUUGUUGGAGGAAUUUCAUGAUGUGGUUCCUGAGGAGUUGCCUAAUGAGCUACCUCCUAUGAGAGAUAUUCAACACCACAUUGACUUGGUUCCUGGUGCUAGCUUGCCUAACCUACUACACUACAGGAUGAGUCCUAGGGAGAAUGAGAUUUUGCGUGAGCAGGUAGAGGAAUUGUUGAGAAAAGGGCACAUUCAGACUAGCAUGAGUCCAUGUGCAGUGCCAGCAUUAUUGACACCAAAGAAAGAUGGGAGUUGGAGGAUGUGUGUUGACAGUAGAGCCAUCAACAAAAUUACUAUUGGGUACAAAUUUCCAAUUCCUAGGCUCGACGACAUGCUUGAUCAACUUGAUGGGGCUGUGAUUUUUUCCAAAAUUGACCUUAGAAGUGGUUAUCAUCAAAUUAGAAUUCGACCUGGAGAUGAGUGGAAGACAGUUUUCAAGACAAGAGAUGGGUUGUUUGAGUGGUUAGUCAUGCCCUUUGGACUAACCAAUGCACCAAGCACUUUCAUGAGACUAAUGAACCAAGUAUUACGCCCUUUCAUUGGUAAAUUCGUUGUGGUGUAUUUUGAUGAUAUUUUGAUAUACAGUAAGUCUAUUAAUGAGCAUGAGGGGCAUAUUCGAGAGGUGUUGAGUGUGUUGAGGGAAAACAAACUUUAUGCUAAUUUGAAGAAGUGUACUUUUAUGAGUGAGAGCUUGUUGUUCUUGGGCUUUGUUAUAAGUAAAGAGGGCGUAAAGGUAGAUGAGGAAAAAGUGCGAGCUAUUAGAGGGUGGCCAACUCCUAAAAAUGUCAGUGAUGUGCGAAGUUUCCAUGGGUUAGCAACUUUCUAUAGGCGGUUUAUCAAACACUUUAGUAGUAUUGUGGCUCCAAUUACUGAGUGUUUAAAGAAAGGAAAGUUCCAUUGGGGUGAAGAACAAGAGCAAAGUUUCACCUUGAUAAAAGAUAAAUUAUGUACCGCUCCUGUCUUAGCUUUGCCAAGCUUUGACAAAUUGUUUGAGGUUGAGUGUGAUGCGAGUGGAGUGGGUAUAGGUGCUGUGUUGUCCCAAGAGAAGAGACCAAUUGCAUUUUUCAGUGAGAAGUUGUGUGAAGCCAGAAGAAAGUGGUUUACUUAUGAUAAGGAGUUUUAUGCAGUAGUGAGGGCUCUUAAGAUAUGGGAACAUUACUUGAUUGCCAAAGAAUUUGUUCUUUACACGGAUCACCAAGCUCUUAAGUACUUGAGUAGCCAAAGGCAAUUGAGGAGUGAUAUGCUAGAUGGUCUGCUUUUAUUGAUAAAUUUCCAUAUAAAAUUGUACAUAAGUCGGGACAACAUAAUCGAGUGGCAGACGCUUUGAGUAGGCGUGUGGAUUUGAUCAAGACCCUUAGUGUUGAGAUUGUUGGGUUUGAGUGCUUGAAAGAAUUAUAUGCGACAGACGAGGAUUUCAAACAUGUGUGGGAACAAUGCAUGUCUCAGCAACCAUCAGGAGAUUUUUAUGUGCAUGAUGGGUUUCUCAUGAAGGGAAAUCAGUUGUGCAUCCCUUGCACAUCUCUUCGUGAGAAAAUUAUUCAGGAUUUGCAUGGUGGUGGCUUAGCAGGGCAUCUUGGCAGAGACAAGACUAUUGAAGCUGUUAUGGGAAGGUAUUAUUGGCCAAGAGCAAGGAGAGAUGUUUCUAUUAUUGUGGCGAGGUGUUAUAUAUGUCAAACAGUUAAGGGGCACUCUUCUAACGCCGGUCUUUACAUGCCAUUGCCUGUUCCCAAUGCUAUUUGGGAAGAUUUGUCUAUGGACUUCGUGUUGGGUCUACCGCGAACCCAACGAGGUAUGGAUUCUGUUUUUGUAGUGGUUGACAGGUUUUCCAAGAUGGCGCACUUUCUCCCAUGCAAGAAGACGGCAGAUGCAGUAGCUACAGCCAAACUGUUUUUCAAGGAGAUUGUUAGACUACAUGGAGUCCCUAAAACUAUUACUUCGGAUCGUGAUACAAGGUUUUUGAGUCACUUCUGGAUUACCUUGUGGAGAAUGUUCGAUUCAUCUUUGAAUUUCAGUAGCACAGCACAUCCCCAGACUGAUGGACAAACAGAGGUGGUGAAUCGUACCUUAGGAAAUCUGAUUCGCAGUGUUUGCAAAGACAAGCCAAGACAAUGGGACCUAGUCAUAGCUCAAGCAGAAUUUGCCUACAACAACACCGUACAUAGCUCAACAGGAAGAUCACCAUUCUCUAUCGUAUACAUGAAAGUUCCUAAUCAUGCAUUGGAUUUGGUAAAAUUGCCAAAGGUACCAGGUUUCAGUGUUGCAGCCAGUGACUUAGCCGAACACGUUCAAGCAGUUCAGGAAGAUGUCAGGCAAAAGUUGCACGAAGCGAAUAAGAAGUACAAGGCAGCAGCUGACAAGCAUAGGAAGCACAAGGUAUUUGCGGUUGGAGAUGAAGUCAUGAUAUUCUUGAAAAAGGAACGGAUUCCUACAGGACAACAGAACAAGCUCAAGCCAAAGAAGUAUGGUCCUUACAAGAUUACAAAGAAGAUCAAUGAUAAUGCUUAUGUUGUGGAUUUGCCAAAUCAUAUGGGUAUUUCCAAAACAUUCAAUGUUGCUGAUCUUUCUUUGUAUUUGCCGGACGUUGAGUUGUCAUACCCAGAUCAUAAUUCGAGGACGAAUUCUUCUCAAGUGGAGGUGAAUGAUGCGGUCACCAAUCAAGACCCGGCCCAAAGCUGACUCUCGACCACGCCGGAACAAUAUUUUAAUACUUCUUAAGUUUUUAGAAUUCUACUUGAUUUAGGAUUCAAUUUCAUAUUUCUACUUGAUUUAGGAUUCUACUUCAUGUUGGAUUAAGAUUUAUUUCUAUUAGGAUUCUAGUUGGAUUUUGUUUUCCAAAUAUUAGAUGGAUUUGGAUUAGCCAAAUACUAUAAAUAUGCCUAGGAUCUAGAGUUUGUAAUCAAGUUUUUCUUAAUCAAAUUUCAGCAACCUAUUUAGGUUUUCUUAGCAAAACAGUCUUGUUUUUGCGUCUUCUUGAAAGCCAAGCUUCGGCCAUUGAAGUUUGCUCUUUCAAGGGUUUAUUUUGGUGUGUUUUCUUCACACUCGCGCUACACGCUGCGUCAUCUUUUUCCUGAAAUAAGUUUGCAAGUACCAGCCUCUGCACCGCUAGUGAUAGUCAUUCGUCUUCCCCCUUUGUUGAAAGUGACUUCCAUUUUCUUAAAAUCAAAGCAAAUGGGGCUUACUUCUCUCAUCCAAUCCACGCCUAAGACCAUAUCGCAACCUCCUAACCAGAGAAGUCUUAGGUUAGCUUCGAAGUUUUCCCCCUGCAUCUGCUAACAAAAUCCCAUGCAUGCAGACUUACAAAUCACCUUUUGUCCAUUAGCCACCGUAAUAAACAGUGGAAGUGUCCUGGUGAGUCGACAAUGGAGCCUCUUAGCUACUCUUUCAUCCAGGAAGCUAUGUGUGCUUCCGCUGUCAAUGAGUAUAGACAGGUCAUCCUCCUGUGCCUUACCAUCUACUUUUAUGAUUUUACUUGUGGAUACUCCCCUUAGCGCAUGGAGAGAAAUCUCCAUUUUCUCUUCAUCUCUUUCGUUCUCUUGGGUCUCUACUUCUUCAACCUCUUCUUCGCCAUCCUCUGUUCUUUCUAGUAGCAGUAAUUGGCGUUUGCAUUGAUGGCCUGGAGUGUACUUGUCUCCACACCUGAAACAAAGUCUUGCUAACCUCUUAUGUUCUCUCAAACUGUUCCCAAACGAUGGAGAUGGAGCUGGCAAAGCUAACGCCUUACCGUUGAUCCCCCUGUUCCUCUUUCCUUAUUCCACCCCCUGUUACUCUGUUGAAUAGGCACCUGCCAUCCUCUACUCACCCCAUUCUACUUCUUCGAUAAUGCCUCUAUCGCUAGUUCUUGCAGCUUAGCGCACUCCGUAGCCUACUGUACUGUUUUCGGUUGAAACAUUUUCACUAUGGGGCGGAUUUCCUCGCUCAAGCCGCUGAUGAAACUUGACACGAAGUAACCCUCUGUAAGUGUGGGAUUGGAGAUCAACAUGAGGCCUUUAAUUCCUCAAACUUUUGUUGGUAGACCUGCACAGAUCCUCCUUGUUUCAGUUUAUUAAAUUCUUCUACUACGUCCAACAUUCCUUUCUCCCCAAAUCUUCCACACAUUCCUUCCACAAAUCUUCCCAAGAGCACUCGUCUUUCACUCCCAUCCACCCCUGGUACCAUGCAUCCCCCACAUCGUUAAGGUAGGCCACAACAAUUGUUACCUUGUGUUGUUCGGCCACGUUAUAGAGACGAAACACUCUCUCACAACGCCUCACCCACCAUUGCGGAUUCUGGCCAUCAAAUAAAGGAAUCUCCAUACGCAACAUCAACGUCUCGCUCUAGUUCGAUCCUUGUGCUACGCCUGAUCUCCUGACGCUCGCGUUUUCUUCCAUCAUUGGUUGCUAUGUUUCUAGUUUCGCAGAUCCCUCCGAUCUGCUAUUACCCCCUAGAUCAUUUAGGAACGGUUCCGAAUGCUCCCUCAAAGGGAACUCCAGAGAGAUUUGUACCUGAGUUUGGCGUGAAGCAUCAGCAUAAACUGAUGCAUGUGAUCCCGGAGAGUUUGGUUCUGUUCUCUCAUCUGCUUCUCUAACCGAGCAGUCUGUGAUCGACUCUCCUCCCGCCACAAGUUCACUGCUCCAUCGAUCCUUCUUUCCACCGAAUUUUCAAACGUCUCCAUCUAGUUCUGCAUCUCUGAUACCGACGCCGUCACUUGCUGGAGUUGCGCUUCCAUAUGCUUCAUCCGAGUUCCGUCUGCCAUGGCCCUCCUGAUCGUCCAUGAACGUGCUCUGAUACCAGAUUGUCAGAUCUCCAAUAUGGCAAUGGUUCCUCCUACAAUUCAGAAGGAAUUGCGCGUGAAUGAGAAACCCGAAGGAAGUGAAAUUAGAAGGAGAGAGAUAGAGAUAGAGAGAGAGAUUAGUGAGGGAAAAAUGUGAUUCAAUUGUAUUUUCAGAUACCCGCUUUAGUGGUAUGAGCUGCCUUAUAUACCCUCCUCAAGAAGGUGCCAAUCAUUUGAAUUACAAGCAGCUAACUACUAGCUAACUACUAGCUUCUACACACUUCUAUACUCCAACCGCCUACCCCCUUUAUUACAACAUUACCCCUUCGACUAAUAGGCGCCCUUGCCCUUGUCCGUGACAGUCUAUUACUUUUUAAAUGGCCAGGUUUGCAAUAUUGCAGUUCUAUGAAAGUAACAUUAUUUCAUCCAUCAUAAUAUAAUUAGGGCACUAACGCAUUAAAUACAUAAUUUCAGUAAUGAAUAAAUUAUAUGACAUAUAUACAAGUUCACGAGUCAAGAAAGAUCAUAAUCCAAUAUAUAAGAAAAAUUUAGAAACAUUAAUUAUAAUCUUAAUUUCACAAAAAAAAGGCCAAAAAGAAAAGAAAAAGAGUCUAGCAUAUUUAACUUCAACUCAAUCAUUACCAUUCAGCAGGCCACGUGGCAAACAAGUACUUUGAUAUCUGUUGCAAGUUAUCACAACUGUAAAUGCCACAUGGCCUAUCUGCCACCUAUUUUGGCACAGUAUUUUGUGCUGUUCAACAAGGUUUUAUGUUAAUUCUUCAAUUGCAUGCCCAACAUGGAUAUCACAACCAUAUGAUGUAACUAUGCUUCAUAUGAUAAAGGCAGUGCUUCCUCCUGGAAAAUAGUUUUCUCUUUCAUUUCUUUGUUUUCUUAUGGUUAUUUUGUUGGAAUAGAAGUGCUAUGGCACACACCAAGAGGGGGGUGAAUUGGUAUAUAAAAAUUAUUUUUUCUUAAAAAUUCUUUUGAUAAAAAGGAGAUGUCGUCUAUGAAGACCACAGUUUCGUUAAACCUCAAGACCUUGAAAUGGCACGAUGAGGUUUCAACCGUAUAAAGACAAUCUCGUCUUGACAAUGGAGAACAUAAGAUUGAAAAAUAUGAAAUAUGAAAGGUUAAAUAUUUAAAUCAAGUGAGGAAUAUAGAGAUGUUUGGAAAGAUAAAGAUCAAGCACAAGAGAACACAAAGAUUUAUAGUGGUUCGGGUUAACCCAAGUCUAAUCCACUAUCUUAGCUCCUCACUGAGGAUUUUUCAAACAAUCCACUAAAACCUCCUACUUAACCAAGUAAGCCCUCUACUCCAAGACUAGAAAAUUACAAAUCUCUUGCUUAUACAAGCAAACCUUCUAGCACCUAGCUAGGUAUUUCAACCCCUUAUUUCAAAGAGUAAGUCCUCUAGCACAACAAACUAGGAAAAUAGGAACGAUACAAAUGAAAGAGAGAAGUCAAGAGUUAACACUCUUAGUUACUGCAGAAAAUUAAUCCUAGAGAGAAUAAAAUCGUAUAUUAUUUCCCUUGGAUAUGAUAUCAAUAUAUACACAAGACAUCUACAUGAUGUAGGAGUCUAAUCUAAUAUACUUUACAAGAUAUUUAUGUUAUCUAAAAUACUAAAAAUCUAUUUCUAAAAUUUAGGAGAAUAAUUAGAAUUAGAUAAUCUUAUUUUUAUAAAUCUUAUCUCCUAUAAUUUAGGAGUCUUCACGGCAGUCCUCUUUUUGAAUUCUUCUUUAUCUUCUACACUCCCCCUUAAGCUGAGUUGAAUAUAUUAUUUAGGCCAAACUUGGUACCUAGCUCAUCAAACACAAUUCUUAGUAGUGGCUUAGUUAGAAUAUCUGCAAUUUGGCUAUUUGUGGAAGUAUAGUUUAGUUGAAAAACUCCUUCUUCUAACUUCUCUUUAAUGAAGUGCUUGUCAAUUUUGACAUAUUUUGUUCGGUCAUGGUGGAUUGGGUUUUUGGCAAUACUAAUAGCCGAUUGGUUGUCACAUAAUACUUGUAUUGGUUGUGCCAUAGAUACCUGUAACUCUUGUAGCAAUCGUUUUAGCCACAUAUCCUCACAGAACCCAUGGGCCAUGGCCCUAAAUUCAGCCUCUGCGCUGCUCCUAGAUACCACAGAUUGCUUCUUACUUUGCCAAGUAACUAAAUUUCUCCAAACAAAUGAGCAAUAUUCGGAGGUUGAUCUUCUAUCACAAAUUAAUCCUGCCCAAUCAACAUCACUAUAAAUCUUCACCCCUUGAUUAACAGUUUUCCUGAACAUUAGCUCUUUGCCUGGUGUCAUCUUAAGAUAUCUCAGAAUCCGAUAUACAGCUUCCAAAUGUCCUUCUCUAGGAUCAUUCAUGAAUUGGCUUACCACACUCACGGGAAAGCCUAUAUCUGGUCUUGUAUGAGACAAGUAUAUAAGCUUUCCUACUAAUCUUUGAUAUCUUCCUUUGUACAUUGGAGCACUUUCUUUGCCCUUAUCCAGCUUUAAAGUGGUUUCUAUAGGUGUAUCAGCUGGUUUGCAUCCCAACAUUCCUGUUUCAGUAAGGAGAUCUAGGAUAUACUUUCGUUGAGAAACUGAUAUUCCUUCUUUGGACCUUACAACUUCCAUACCUAAGAAAUGCCUUAGGCUUCCAAGAUCUUUGAUUUCAAAUUCUUUUGCCAACACUUCCUUAAGCUUCCUGAUUUCAGAAAUAUUGUCUCCUGUAACAAUUAUAUCAUCAACAUAUACAAUAAGUAUGGAUAUUUUACCUCCCAAGGAGUUUUUGAUGAAUAAGGUGUGGUCUGCCUGGCAUUGAACAUAUUCAUAUUUCUUGAUUGCCUUUGUAAAUUUCUCGAACCAGACUCUAGGAGACUGUUUGAGCUCAUACAGUGAUUUCUUUAGUUUGCAUACCUUGUUCCUUGUGAGAUUAGUUUCAAAUCCAUGAGGGAUUUCCAUAUAUACCUCUUUUUCGAGGUCUCCAUUUAAAAAAACAUUCUUCACAUCCAAUUGGUAGAGUGGCCAAUCUAGGUUUAUAGCUAGGGAUAGUAAGACUCUAAUUGUAUUCAAUUUUGCUACUGGAGCAAAAGUCUCUUGGUAAUCUAUACCAUAAGAUUGAGUGAACCCUUUUGCCACUAGACGAGCUUUAUACCUGUCAAUUUCUCCAUUUUCUCGGUAUUUAAUUGUAAAUACCCACUUGCAGCCUACAAGAUGUUUUCUGAGAGGUAAUUCAGUAAUUACCCAAGUCCCAUUUCUCUUCAAAGCCUUCAUUUCCUCAAGAACUGCCUCCUUCCACUUAAGAUGUUGAAAAGUCUCCUGAACUGUUCUAGAAACCUGCACCUUAUUGAUAUUUGAUAUAAAAACACUGAAAUUAGGUGAGAGACCUUUGUAGGAAAUGUAGUUGUGAAUGGGGUGUUGAGUGCAUGAUCCUACUCCCUUUCUCAAUGCUAUAGGCCAAUGUAAAUCCUCAUCCAAGGCUGAAUUUUCUGAAAUUUCAGAAUUUUGUCCAGCAGGCAUAGUCUUCCCCUUUUCCAACAAUUCCAGAUUCGGAUCAAAAUUUUUGUCAGUCUCAGAACAUGUUGGUUCCCCACAUUCUUUCUGUUUAGACAUUUUUCUAGAAUAAACUUGAAGUUCAUGAGGAGAGGAAGACGGAUUUAUAGAGUUUACAGGUGGCAGUGGCUGAUUUUCAGGCUAUUGUUGUUGGUUAGAUAGAGAAAUUCCAAGUUCUGGUUGUUGGUGGUUAGGCUGAGGAUCCCAAAAAGAAUCCCAAAACUAAUAUUCUUGAGGAUUUGAAGUAUUCUCCCCCUGAAUAUCGGUUUUGGGAUAAUAAGGUUGUGUUUCAAAAAAGGUUAUAUCCAUGGAUGUGAAAAAUCGCUUAAGGCUGGGAGAAUAACAUUUGUAACCUCGUUGGUGUGGCGAAUAGCCAAGGAAUAUACACUUGAUGGAUUUUGGGUCAAGUUUACUCCGAAAUUGAGAGUGAAUGUGAACAAAUGAGGUGCAGUCAAAAAUCUUGAGAGGAAGGUGAGAAAGCACCUGGGUGUGAGGAAAAGAGGCAAGAAGAAGCUGACUAGGAGUUUGAAAUUUGAGGAUGCGUGAGGGCAUUCUAUUGAUAAGGUAGGUAGUCGUAAAAAUAGCUUCACCCCAAAAAUGUUUAGGAGCAUGAGAAGAAAAUAAUAAGGAUCGGGCCACUUCCAAUAGGUGUCUAUUUUUGCGUUCUGCAAUCCCGUUUUGUUGAGGUGUAUCAACACAAGAACUUUGAUGAAUGAUGCCUUGUUGGGAUAGAUAAGUGCCUAGAAUUGAAUUGAAAUAUUCUUUAGCAUUAUCUAUUCUAAGAACUUGAAUGUUAGCAUUGAAUUGUCUUUUCACCAUGGUAUGGAAGGUUUGAAAAAUGUGGCCAGCUUCAGAUUUCUCUUACAUGAGGAAAACCCAAGUAAGACGGGUAUGGUCAUCAAUGAAAAAAUAAACCAACAAGCCCCGAUAACAUUUUUUACUUUAGAAGGCCCCCACACAUCACUAUGAAUCAAAGAAAACGGAUAGGAUGGAGUAUCCUUGAGACUAGGAUAAUGAGUCCGAACAUGCUUGGAAUAUUGACAAAUUUCACAUUGAAACAUGUGUAAAUCUGAAUUCUUGAACAAAGAAGGAAACAAUUUCUGAAGAUAAGCAAAGUUUGGAUGUCCUAAUCUAUAGUGCCACAACAUAAUUGCACUAUUAUUGGAAUGAAAACUAGAGAAACAAAGAGGUGAAGUGGAAUGACAAUAGCUGGAUUUUACUUCAGUUUUUCUGGAGUCAGUCCCUUGAAAAUGUAGAGGCCCGCACAUGCCUCAGCACUGCCAAUCAUCUUUCCCGAAAUCCGAUCCUGAAAUUCACAUAUAUCUCUUGAGAAUUUUGCAACACACUUCAUAUCAAUAGUGAGCUUACUAACAGAUAGAAGGUUGCAGUCCAGAUUAGGCACAAAUAGGACAUCUUUUAGUGUCAAACCAGUGGACAGAAUAGCUGAUCCAAUUCCUGCUACUUUUGCUAAUGAUCCAUCAGCAAUCCUUACCUUCCACUCUUUGUCACAUGGCUGAAUAUUUGUUAACAAUCCACCAUUACUAGUCAUGUGAUCGGAAGCUCCUGAGUCAACAAUCCAUAGGAUAGAUAGCUUACUAUUAGCAAUAAAAGCAUGUAGAGGAUUACCUUUGUGAGCUAUAGAACCUGCUGCCACUGUAGAACCCUGCAACUGGGUUUUCCCAAAAUUAUGCUACAGCCACUCCAUCUGCUCUUUGCUAAAUAAGCUUGAGUUUGAGGAAAAAGUUGUCUCUUCGGUUGCUGUAAAAUUAUCCUUACUCUUCCUUUCAUGUGCUGGUUUCCAAUCCAGGGGCUUGCCAUGGAUAUCCCAGCAUGUAUCCUUUGUGUGAACAAGUUUGUGGCAAUGAUCACACCAAGGACGACCCUUCUUCUGCUUGGGAUUUGAUAGGUUGCCUCCUCGGGUAAAUAGGACAAGAAUGUUCUAGGCCUGAAUUUGAGGGCUUCAACAUUAGUUUCAGCCUACUUUCUUCUCUACGAACCUCAGCAAACGCCUCCCUGAGGCUUGGUAGAGGUUUUGUGCCUAGAAUCCUACCUCACACCAUCUAGUUUUUUAUUUAAACCAAUCAAGAAUUUAUACAGCUGCUAAAUCUCCACUAUUUCUUUGUAUUUGGCUAAAUCUUCAGUGCCCUUCCAUUGGAUAGUAUCACACUUAUCCAAUUGAAGCCAAAACUUAUUCAAAGAAUUGAAAUAUUGAGUGACUUGGGACUCACCUUGCCUUAAAUCAUUGAGAACACUUUCUAUCUCAAACAACUUGGAAGUAUUCUCAACAUGGGAGUAAGCUUCCUUAACAGCCUCCCAAAUUUCUUGGGCUGUAUUGUAUAACAAGAAAUUCUCACCUAUCUCAUUGUUCAUUGAGUUAAUCAGCCAAGACAUCACCAUGUUGUUUUCGGCCUUCCAAAUCCGGUAUUGUGCUUCAUCCUCCUUCGGUUUGCUGACUGCUCUAGUGAGAUUGGCCCAUUCCAAAUCUCUCAUCCUGAUAAAGUGAAAAUUAAAGUUAGAGUUCAACUAAACCUCCAUGGAAUUGUUGCCAUUGAUUCAGCUUCACUAAUAGAAGAUCAUUGGGAUGAUUCAAGGAAUAGUGCUUCG